UGCCUGCGCCCAGAGAAAAUGGAGG
Molecule: non-coding RNA, 25 nt
Filed under: Mus musculus (house mouse)
Lineage: Eukaryota; Metazoa; Chordata; Mammalia; Rodentia; Muridae
Source: RNAcentral